This 253-nucleotide ribosomal RNA is filed under the name uncultured bacterium. RNAcentral's name for it is "partial 16S ribosomal RNA". It matches the Rfam family "Bacterial small subunit ribosomal RNA", at positions 524 to 776 of the family's 1533-position model. The record is from RNAcentral.
UACGUAGGGCGCAAGCGUUGUCCGGAAUUAUUGGGCGUAAAGAGCUCGUAGGCGGUUUGUCGCGUCUGUCGUGAAAGCUUGGGGCUUAACCCCAAGUCUGCGGUGGAUACGGGCAGACUAGAGGCAGGUAGGGGAGAACGGAAUUCCCGGUGUAGCGGUGAAAUGCGCAGAUAUCGGGAGGAACACCGGUGGCGAAGGCGGUUCUCUGGGCAUUACCUGACGCUGAGGAGCGAAAGUGUGGGGAGCGAACAGG